RNAcentral lists this ribosomal RNA (234 nucleotides) under uncultured bacterium. Its description in RNAcentral is "partial 16S ribosomal RNA". It matches the Rfam family "Bacterial small subunit ribosomal RNA", at positions 103 to 334 of the family's 1533-position model. The record is from RNAcentral.
CCGGGUGAGUAACACGUGAUUAACCUACCUUCGAGUGGGGAAUAACUUCGGGAAACCGAAGCUAAUACCGCAUAACAUCCCUAGGACGAGAAGCCCAGGGAUCAAAGGAGCAAUUUGCUUGAAGAGGGGGUCGCGGCUGAUUAGCUAGUUGGCGGAGUAAUGGCCCACCAAGGCGAUGAUCAGUAGCCGGCCUGAGAGGGCGCACGGCCACACUGGAACUGAAACACGGUCCAG